Molecule: ribosomal RNA, 338 nt
Filed under: Patelloida latistrigata
Lineage: Eukaryota; Metazoa; Mollusca; Gastropoda; Lottiidae
Description: partial 12S ribosomal RNA
Source: RNAcentral
GCACUAAUCUCCCCAGGGGAGCCUGGCCCUUAAUUCGAUAAUCCACGAAUCUCUUACCCUUCCUAGUGUCCGGUAAUUCUUUUUAGAAAACCGGACGCCUCAGCCUAUAUACCGCCGUUGUGCAGCCCGUACCAUGAGGGGCUAUAAACAGGCAACGCACUAGCUAUUUAUUAUAGCUUUAGUUCUAAUUCAGGUAAACGUGUAGCCUAUGGAAGGGGGGCCGCUGGGCUACAGUGUUGAUUUUAUUUUGGAAUUAUACAAUUAACAUAGAUAAUGAAAGAGGACUUGGAAGUAACUGCCCCACACACUGGGGCAGUGAAUCUAGCACUAGUGUGCGU